UACGUAGGGGGCUAGCGUUGUCCGGAAUCAUUGGGCGUAAAGCGCGUGUAGGCGGCCCGGUAAGUCCGCUGUGAAAGUCGGGGGCUCAACCCUCGAAUGCCGGUGGAUACUGUCGGGCUCGAGUGCGGGAGAGGCGAGUGGAAUUCCUGGUGUAGCGGUGAAAUGCGCAGAUAUCAGGAGGAACACCGAUUGCGAAGGCAGCUCGCUGGAACGUUACUGACGCUGAGACGCGAAAGCGUGGGGAGCAAACAGG
Molecule: ribosomal RNA, 253 nt
Filed under: uncultured bacterium
Lineage: Bacteria
Description: partial 16S ribosomal RNA
Rfam family: Bacterial small subunit ribosomal RNA
Source: RNAcentral